This 402-nucleotide ribosomal RNA is filed under the name Triticum aestivum (bread wheat). RNAcentral describes it as "partial small subunit ribosomal RNA". The record is from RNAcentral. Lineage: Eukaryota; Viridiplantae; Streptophyta; Magnoliopsida; Poales; Poaceae.
AUGUUGAUUGACAAAACUUGCUGUAAAGACAAGGAUUUACCAAAGUCAAAGAAAAAUGACGAAGCAGAGUCUCAGGGCAGCAUUGAUAUGUUUAAGCUCUGCAACUUGAAGCCAGCUUUGCCAACCACCUUUCCCGUGCCAGAUUUUAGCGACAAAGAGAUGUGUGAGAAGAUCAACUUUGCCAUUGAUCAGAGCAUGUUCUUAUCAAGUGACGCUGAAAAGUAUCAAAUUGAUAUGGAGGAAGCAGGAAAGGGUCUUGACUGGGUUCAUUCAAAGAAAAAAUACAAGGAAUAUUUGAAGCAGCUUCCAGAUAUAAGCUCGAGCAAGAGAAACAGAACAUCUGUUUCAAACCCUCACGUGGCCCAGAAGUGCAAAGCAGUCUCAAUGAAGGAGAAUCUGUAG